Molecule: ribosomal RNA, 425 nt
Filed under: uncultured bacterium
Lineage: Bacteria
Description: partial 16S ribosomal RNA
Rfam family: Bacterial small subunit ribosomal RNA
Source: RNAcentral
GUGGGGAAUCUUAGACAAUGGGGGAAACCCUGAUCUAGCCAUGCCGCGUGAGCGAUGAAGGCCUUAGGGUUGUAAAGCUCUUUCAGCUGGGAAGAUAAUGACUGUACCAGCAGAAGAAGCCCCGGCUAACUCCGUGCCAGCAGCCGCGGUAAUACGGAGGGGGCUAGCGUUGUUCGGAAUUACUGGGCGUAAAGCGCACGUAGGCGGACCGGAAAGUCAGAGGUGAAAUCCCAGGGCUCAAACUUGGAACUGCCUUUGAAACUCCUGGUCUUGAGGUCGAGAGAGGUGAGUGGAAUUCCGAGUGUAGAGGUGAAAUUCGUAGAUAUUCGGAGGAACACCAGUGGCGAAGGCGGCUCACUGGCUCGAUACUGACGCUGAGGUGCGAAAGCGUGGGGAGCAAACAGGAUUAGAUACCCCGGUAGUCC